CGCGGACGGCUCGGGGCCCCGCGGCCGGGCCGGGGCGGCGAUGUCCGAGCCCAAGGCCAGCGACCCCAAGUUGUCGACGACCGACCGGGUGGUGAAAGAAGCCUGAAGCAUUCAGACACCGAUGGUAGCACAGCCCGGUGACUAACAGGAGCGGAGUGGGAGAGACACCCAUACCGAGUCUAUGACUGCAGCUUUGUGCUAAUGAUAGACGUGUAAAAAUUCUUGGCAAUGAAAAAUCAGCUUGUGUGUAGAAGAACAGGAAUUUUAGUCCAAGGACUGAGCCCACAGGUACCCAGAGGCCCUUGAGGCACACGAGAGUAGGCGAAGAAAGAGCUCACUGGCCUUGUGCUGGGAGACGGACCUGCGCCAACCAGGAGGGAGGAGACAACAAAUACAUUUCCCUCGGCCCAGGAAACCUCUUUGGUGCUUGGGAUACCAAGAAACCAAGAAAUUCUCUAAUCAAAGCAUUUUAAUGGACUGCUUAUUAAAGUGCAUACAAACUCAGCAGUCCCAAUGUGGACCAGAAGCUGCAAUACACAAUGUUGAAAAAUAAAGUGAAAAGAAUGUCCACCCAUCAAACUCUGAGAUGCAGGAGUCGUAAGAGAAAGGAUUUCUGCGGGACUCAAAGAUGACUCUGGAUUUGGAUUACUCUCCAGUCCAUCCAAAAGAGCAAAGACAAUAC
RNAcentral lists this long non-coding RNA (682 nucleotides) under Heterocephalus glaber (naked mole-rat). RNAcentral's name for it is "lncRNA (ENSHGLG00100033426.1)". Lineage: Eukaryota; Metazoa; Chordata; Mammalia; Rodentia; Bathyergidae. The record is from RNAcentral.